GCAAGUAGAGAGGAAGGUGGGGAUGACGUCAAAUCAGCACGGCCCUUACGUCCAGGGCUACACACGUGCUACAAUGGCCGGUAACAGAGGGCAGCCACCUGGUGACAGGGAGCGAAUCCUCGAAAGCCGGUCUCAGUUCGGAUCGAAGUCUGCAACCCGACUUCGUGAAGCUGGAAUCGCUAGUAAUCGCGCAUCAGCCAUGGCGCGGUGAAUACGUUCCCGGGCCUU
RNAcentral lists this ribosomal RNA (228 nucleotides) under uncultured Bacteroidota bacterium. RNAcentral's name for it is "uncultured Bacteroidetes bacterium partial 16S ribosomal RNA". It matches the Rfam family "Bacterial small subunit ribosomal RNA", at positions 1157 to 1382 of the family's 1533-position model. Lineage: Bacteria; Pseudomonadati; Bacteroidota. The record is from RNAcentral.